Molecule: ribosomal RNA, 720 nt
Filed under: uncultured Actinomycetes bacterium
Lineage: Bacteria; Bacillati; Actinomycetota; Actinomycetes
Description: bacterial SSU rRNA
Rfam family: Bacterial small subunit ribosomal RNA
Source: RNAcentral
CCUCGCUUCGGUGGGGUGUUCUAGUGGCGAACGGGUGAGUAACACGUGGGCAACCUGCCCCCGGCUCUGGGAUAACUCCAAGAAAUUGGGGCUAAUACCGGAUGUGACCGCUGACCGCAUGGUCUGGUGGUGGAAAGGUUUUUUCCGGCUGGGGAUGGGCCCGCGGCCUAUCAGCUUGUUGGUGGGGUAGUGGCCUACCAAGGCGACGACGGGUAGCCGGCCUGAGAGGGUGACCGGCCACACUGGGACUGAGACACGGCCCAGACUCCUACGGGAGGCAGCAGUGGGGAAUAUUGCGCAAUGGGCGGAAGCCUGACGCAGCGACGCCGCGUGGGGGAUGACGGCCUUCGGGUUGUAAACCUCUUUCAGUAGGGACGAAGCGCAAGUGACGGUACCUACAGAAGAAGCACCGGCCAACUACGUGCCAGCAGCCGCGGUAAUACGUAGGGUGCAAGCGUUGUCCGGAAUUAUUGGGCGUAAAGAGCUCGUAGGCGGUUUGUUGCGUCGGCUGUGAAAACCUGAGGCUCAACCUCAGGCCUGCAGUCGAUACGAGCAGACUAGAGUGUUGCAGGGGAGACUGGAAUUCCUGGUGUAGCGGUGAAAUGCGCAGAUAUCAGGAGGAACACCGGUGGCGAAGGCGGGUCUCUGGGCAACAACUGACGCUGAGGAGCGAAAGCGUGGGGAGCGAACAGGAUUAGAUACCCUGGUAGUCCACGCCGU